GCCGAUGUAGCUCAGUGGCAGAGCAAUUGAUUCGUAAUCAAUAGGCCGUCGGUUCAACUCCGAUCAUCGGCUCCA
This 75-nucleotide transfer RNA is filed under the name bacterium. Its description in RNAcentral is "tRNA-Thr". It matches the Rfam family "tRNA". Rfam says of the family: Transfer RNA (tRNA) molecules are approximately 80 nucleotides in length. Their secondary structure includes four short double-helical elements and three loops (D, anti-codon, and T loops). The record is from RNAcentral.